This 795-nucleotide ribosomal RNA is filed under the name Bacillus tequilensis. Its description in RNAcentral is "bacterial SSU rRNA". It matches the Rfam family "Bacterial small subunit ribosomal RNA", at positions 46 to 825 of the family's 1533-position model. The record is from RNAcentral. Lineage: Bacteria; Bacillati; Bacillota; Bacilli; Caryophanales; Bacillaceae.
GCCUAUACAUGCAGUCGAGCGGACAGAUGGGAGCUUGCUCCCUGAUGUUAGCGGCGGACGGGUGAGUAACACGUGGGUAACCUGCCUGUAAGACUGGGAUAACUCCGGGAAACCGGGGCUAAUACCGGAUGGUUGUUUGAACCGCAUGGUUCAAACAUAAAAGGUGGCUUCGGCUACCACUUACAGAUGGACCCGCGGCGCAUUAGCUAGUUGGUGAGGUAACGGCUCACCAAGGCAACGAUGCGUAGCCGACCUGAGAGGGUGAUCGGCCACACUGGGACUGAGACACGGCCCAGACUCCUACGGGAGGCAGCAGUAGGGAAUCUUCCGCAAUGGACGAAAGUCUGACGGAGCAACGCCGCGUGAGUGAUGAAGGUUUUCGGAUCGUAAAGCUCUGUUGUUAGGGAAGAACAAGUACCGUUCGAAUAGGGCGGUACCUUGACGGUACCUAACCAGAAAGCCACGGCUAACUACGUGCCAGCAGCCGCGGUAAUACGUAGGUGGCAAGCGUUGUCCGGAAUUAUUGGGCGUAAAGGGCUCGCAGGCGGUUUCUUAAGUCUGAUGUGAAAGCCCCCGGCUCAACCGGGGAGGGUCAUUGGAAACUGGGGAACUUGAGUGCAGAAGAGGAGAGUGGAAUUCCACGUGUAGCGGUGAAAUGCGUAGAGAUGUGGAGGAACACCAGUGGCGAAGGCGACUCUCUGGUCUGUAACUGACGCUGAGGAGCGAAAGCGUGGGGAGCGAACAGGAUUAGAUACCCUGGUAGUCCACGCCGUAAACGAUGAGUGCUAAGUGUUA